GUGCAGCAGGCGCGAAACCUCCGCAAUGCGGGCAACCGCGACGGGGCUACCCCGAGUGCCGGGCGAAGAGCCCGGCUUUUGCCCGGUCUAAAAAGCCGGGAGAAUAAGCGGGGGGCAAGUCUGGUGUCAGCCGCCGCGGUAAUACCAGCUCCGCGAGUGGUCGGGGUGUUUACUGGGCUUAAAGCGCCCGUAGCCGGCCCGGCAAGUCGCUCCUGAAAUCCCCGGGCUCAACCCGGGGGCGGGGGGCAAUACUGCCGGGCUAGGGGGCGGGAGAGGCCGCCGGUACUCCGGGGGUAGGGGCGAAAUCCGUUAAUCCCCGGAGGACCACCAGUGGCGAAAGCGGGCGGCCAGAACGCGCCCGACGGUGAGGGGCGAAAGCCGGGGGAGCAAAGGGGAUUAGAUACCCCUGUAGUCCCGGCCGUAAACGAUGCGGGCUAGCUGUCGGCCGGGCUUAGGGCCCGGCCGGUGGCGAAGGGAAACCGUUAAGCCCGCCGCCUGGGGAGUACGGCCGCAAGGCUGAAACUUAAAGGAAUUGGCGGGGGAGCAC
RNAcentral lists this ribosomal RNA (547 nucleotides) under uncultured archaeon. Its description in RNAcentral is "bacterial SSU rRNA". It matches the Rfam family "Archaeal small subunit ribosomal RNA", at positions 330 to 879 of the family's 1478-position model. The record is from RNAcentral.